AUUGAACGCUGGCGGCAGGCCUAACACAUGCAAGUCGAACGGUAACAGGAAACAGCUUGCUGUUUCGCUGACGAGUGGCGGACGGGUGAGUAAUGUCUGGGAAACUGCCUGAUGGAGGGGGAUAACUACUGGAAACGGUAGCUAAUACCGCAUAACGUCGCAAGACCAAAGAGGGGGACCCUCGGGCCUCUUGCCAUCGGAUGUGCCCAGAUGGGAUUAGCUUGUUGGUGGGGUAACGGCUCACCAAGGCGACGAUCCCUAGCUGGUCUGAGAGGAUGACCGGCCACACUGGAACUGAGCCACGGUCCAGACUCCUACGGGAGGCAGCAGUGGGGAAUAUUGCACAAUGGGCGCAAGCCUGAUGCAGCCAUGCCGCGUGUAUGAAGAAGGCCUUCGGGUUGUAAAGUACUUUCAGCGGGGAGGAAGGGAGUAAAGUUAAUACCUUUGCUCAUUGACGUUACCCGCAGAAGAAGCACCGGCUAACUCCGUG
This 490-nucleotide ribosomal RNA is filed under the name uncultured bacterium. RNAcentral describes it as "partial 16S ribosomal RNA". It matches the Rfam family "Bacterial small subunit ribosomal RNA", at positions 30 to 507 of the family's 1533-position model. The record is from RNAcentral.